GAUUCCGUCAGUAGCGGCGAGCGAACGCGGAUUAGCCCAAACCAAGGGGCUUGCCCCUUGGGGUUGUGGGACGUCUCACAUGGAGUUACAAAGGGAUAGGGUAGACGAAGAGGUCUGGAAAGGCCCGUCGUAGAAGGUAACAACCCUGUAGUCGAAAGUCUAUCCCCUCCGAGACGGAUCCCGAGUACCGCGAGACACGUGAAACCUCGUGGGAAUCCGGCAGGACCAUCUGCCAAGGCUAAAUACUCCCUGGCGACCGAUAGUGAAGCAGUACCGUGAGGGAAAGGUGAAAAGCACCGCGGGAGCGGAGUGAAAAAGAACCUGAAACCGUGCGCUUACAAGAAGUCAGAGCCCGAUCUAGGGGUGAUGGCGUGCCUUUUGUAGAAUGAACCGGCGAGUUACGUUCACGUGCAAGGUUAAGCUGAGAAGGCGGAGCCGAAGCGAAAGCGAGUCUGAAUAGGGCGAAUAAGUACGUGGUCGUAGACCCGAAACCGUGUGAUCUACCCCUGUGCAGGGUGAAGGUGAGGUAACACG
This 534-nucleotide ribosomal RNA is filed under the name Niabella sp. RNAcentral's name for it is "partial 23S ribosomal RNA". It matches the Rfam family "Bacterial large subunit ribosomal RNA", at positions 233 to 763 of the family's 2925-position model. The record is from RNAcentral. Lineage: Bacteria; Pseudomonadati; Bacteroidota; Chitinophagia; Chitinophagales; Chitinophagaceae.